Long non-coding RNA from Ricinus communis (castor bean), 933 nucleotides. RefSeq lists it as uncharacterized. The record is from RefSeq and is a predicted model, not a curated record. The transcript has 2 exons. NCBI's taxonomy places the organism in Eukaryota, Viridiplantae, Streptophyta, Magnoliopsida, Malpighiales, Euphorbiaceae.
AAAACGAUUCGUAAGCUUUUGGCAUGUGAACUCUGAUUUCCAAAAGCAAAUACAAAACCUAUUAAAUACUAUGGAUCCCAACCCCAUCUUUGGAUCAACUUCCUCCUCUACUCUUGAGAUUAAAUGAUCUAUUCAAUAAGAUUCAUAAUCUUUGGUUUGGAAGAUAUAAGAGGAUGGCAAGCUAGAAUGGAUAUCAAGAUGAGUUAUUUCAUUAUCAAUCAAGACAAGAGCCCAUGAAGUAGUGAUUUAGAGUAUAAAACAAAGAUGGCUAAUAAGCAAGACAUUGAUGCUAUUAAGACUGCAAUCUAAAAGGAACUUAAGCAAGAUUUGGCUAAGAUUUUUAAGAAACAGAGUAUCCAAAUGACUACUAUUGUCGCUGCAACUACUACUUAUGCUACUCAUGAUAUCGAAGCACAUAAUGAGCACCUCUAGAACUUAGAUGACUACAUACUAGAACAAGCUAAGAAGGAGCAUGCUCUUAUUGCAAAAGCUAUUAUGGAAUCUGAGAUUGUGCAUAGUCUGACUAAAAGGCUCAACAAGAUGCAAGAUAUGCUAAAAGAUCAAGGUUUACAUUCAACCUUUGAUUUUGAUGAACUGAUGCUGAUUAGAGAAGACAAGUUACCUCAUACAUUUCAUACGCUUGAAAUGCAAAACUUCAAUGGGAUUGAAGAUUCAAAGGUGCACUUGGAGCAAUAUGCUACUAUCAUGAGUACUACUCAUUUAGCUAGGACCCAAAUUAUCAAGUUGUUUAUACUUUCAUUAGAAGAGCUAGUUGUGAACUAGUACCAUGGGUUAGAAAAACCCAUCAAGUAUGAUUAGAAAAAGCUUUAUGAUGCUUUUGUACAACAAUAUGACUAUAAUACUCACCUAGAAGUCUCUAUAAAAAAUUUAGAAUCAAUAAAGCAAAAAGCCAAUGAGUAUUUUUCUGACUUC